UGUAUCUGAAGUCUGACGAGGAUGAGAACCUCCGGGGGCAAGAGGUUCGACUCGAGCGAAGCGAGAGAACGUUGCGUCAGCAACGGCCCGCAGGGCGAGCCACGCAGUGGCGAGUCAUCC
RNAcentral lists this small RNA (120 nucleotides) under Salmonella enterica. RNAcentral's name for it is "partial RtT sRNA". It matches the Rfam family "RtT RNA", at positions 1 to 116 of the family's 130-position model. From Rfam's summary of the family: This family represents a bacterial cis-regulatory element known as RtT RNA. Lineage: Bacteria; Pseudomonadati; Pseudomonadota; Gammaproteobacteria; Enterobacterales; Enterobacteriaceae. RNAcentral also lists the same sequence under 2 other names. The record is from RNAcentral.